RNAcentral lists this unclassified non-coding RNA (221 nucleotides) under uncultured Gemmatimonadaceae bacterium. Its description in RNAcentral is "contains 16S-23S intergenic spacer region". The record is from RNAcentral. Lineage: Bacteria; Pseudomonadati; Gemmatimonadota; Gemmatimonadia; Gemmatimonadales; Gemmatimonadaceae.
UCCGGUUUGACACCGGCAGUCUCCCUAGAGUGCCCGGCAUAACCCGCUGGUAACUAGGGACGAGGGUUGCGCUCGUUGCGGGACUUAACCCAACAUCUCACGACACGAGCUGACGACAGCCAUGCAGCACCUGUGCACGGACUCCGAAGAGGAACCGAUGUUUCCACCGGCUUUCCCGUGCAUGUCAAGCCCAGGUAAGGUGGGGAUGACGUUCGUCUGAC